UUUUCUUAACGUGACAAUGUUCCUAAACAACUAUCAUUUUCAGGAGGUGAAAACGCUAUUGAGACAGUUUCAA
This is a non-coding RNA of Pangasianodon gigas (Mekong giant catfish), 73 nucleotides long. The record is from the annotation of a GenBank genome assembly. Lineage: Eukaryota; Metazoa; Chordata; Actinopteri; Siluriformes; Pangasiidae.